GUCUAUGGUCAUGUCACCCUGAACGUUCUCCAUCUGUCUGAUCUUGGAAGCUAGGCAGGGUCGGGCCUGGUUAGUACUUGGAUGGGAGAAAAGUGGGGCAGGGGCU
This is a ribosomal RNA of Gorilla gorilla gorilla (western lowland gorilla), 106 nucleotides long. The record is from Ensembl. Lineage: Eukaryota; Metazoa; Chordata; Mammalia; Primates; Hominidae.